UGGGGAAUUUUGGACAAUGGGGGCAACCCUGAUCCAGCCAUGCCGCGUGAGUGAAGAAGGCCUUCGGGUUGUAAAGCUCUUUCAGCCGGGAAGAAAACGCAUGGGUUAAUACCCUGUGUGGAUGACGGUACCGGAAUAAGAAGCACCGGCUAACUACGUGCCAGCAGCCGCGGUAAUACGUAGGGUGCGAGCGUUAAUCGGAAUUACUGGGCGUAAAGCGUGCGCAGGCGGUUUGUUAAGAUAGGCGUGA
Molecule: ribosomal RNA, 250 nt
Filed under: uncultured bacterium
Lineage: Bacteria
Description: partial 16S ribosomal RNA
Rfam family: Bacterial small subunit ribosomal RNA
Source: RNAcentral